Molecule: ribosomal RNA, 116 nt
Filed under: Lepisosteus oculatus (spotted gar)
Lineage: Eukaryota; Metazoa; Chordata; Actinopteri; Semionotiformes; Lepisosteidae
Source: RNAcentral
AAAAGUGCCAUAUCACCCUGCAGCUCUCAACUGGCUACCCACUGAAGCUAAGCAGGGUUGAGCCUGGUCAGUACCUGGAUGGGAGACCUUCUGGAAAGCUAUGGUUGCUGCUGGAA